RNAcentral lists this ribosomal RNA (465 nucleotides) under uncultured bacterium. RNAcentral's name for it is "partial 16S ribosomal RNA". It matches the Rfam family "Bacterial small subunit ribosomal RNA", at positions 28 to 507 of the family's 1533-position model. The record is from RNAcentral.
GACGAACGCUGGCGGCGUGCUUAACACAUGCAAGUCGAACGGAAAGGCCCCUUCGGGGGUACUCGAGUGGCGAACGGGUGAGUAACACGUGAGUAACCUGCCCUUGACUUCGGGAUAACUUCAGGAAACUGGGGCUAAUACCGGAUAGGAAUCCUUGCUUCAUGGUGGGGGUUGGAAAGCUUCGGCGGUUUUGGAUGGACUCGCGGCUUAUCAGCUUGUUGGUGGGGUAGUGGCUUACCAAGGCUUUGACGGGUAGCCGGCCUGGGAGGGCGACCGGCCACACUGGGACUGAGAUACGGCCCAGACUCCUACGGGAGGCAGCAGUGGGGAAUAUUGCACAAUGGGCGGGAGCCUGAUGCAGCAACGCCGCGGGCGGGAUGACGGCCUUCGGGUUGUAAACCGCUUUCAGCAGGGGCGAAGCUUGUGGUGACGGUACCUGCAGAAGAAGCACCGGCUAACUACGUG